Molecule: long non-coding RNA, 2467 nt
Filed under: Homo sapiens (human)
Lineage: Eukaryota; Metazoa; Chordata; Mammalia; Primates; Hominidae
Description: non-protein coding lnc-NABP1-2:1
Source: RNAcentral
ACACAACUUCAAGCUAAUGCCUCGGGCUUAUUUAACAGUAUUAUCAUGUGAAAGACACAGCUGUGGAGAGGCAAAGGAUAGUUUGUGAAUUUGAAACAUUUUGACAUUUCCAGUCAGGACUGAAUAUGCUGAUAAUUCGCAAAAGUCCUGAGCUGUGAAGCAAAAAGAAGGCUUUCAUCAAUCCUGGGGCUAGUCUACUUUCUGGAAUAUGUCCAUUGUAUAAUAUGAGGAAUGAGAAGGGUUAUAUUCUGCAGAAAGUUCUACAGCAUAAUAACAAAUGCAGUAACAGGUGUAUGGCUGUGGUGGAAGCUUGGUCAAAUUGAAACUGGAACAGGAAUAAACCUUUACUUCAUUUAUACUUUAGGUGACAAGGUAGCACAUUUGUACAUAAUAAGGCUGGCCUGGGGAUGGAGGGAGUCCCUGCCCUGACUGUGACUCAGUGAGACUCUUUGCCUGGUCCUAGUCCAAGAGAAACGCAUGCUAUGAUCUCACUGAAGUCUGAAGUGACUCUGAAACUUUGCAGUAAAAAGAAAAUUUCAUCCUUUAAGAUGGUGAGUUACCAGAGAAGUCACAAGGAUAAAAUGAAUGAUGGAGGUUUCUGGAAGAUGUUAUCACCACAUUCAUAGCAUCUAGCCUUUCGUAUACAUUGGGAUGGAAUGGGUAAGAGACAGGCUUGGGGCUCAGUCUCCUAACUGGUUAGUAACUAAAGAUGCCUUGGAGAGGAGAGUUGAGAGUCCAUAUUUUUCACAGAAAUUCUUUUUGAGCCACAUUGACAUUCCUAAAACACCGCACAUACUGAUGCUAUGAUUUCACGGUCAUUUGGUCUCUAAUACCCACAAACUUUGCCUGCCCCUAGCAUAGUUUUACAGCGUUUGUUUAAAAACAACACCCCAAACUAAAACCUUACCUGCAUAAACCAAGCAUAUCUGUGGUUUGGAAAACAGGCCAGGAGUCUAGAGUUCUAUUUCUAACUAUGCAGCUAACUUCCCAGGUGGACUGGAAGAAAUCCUUGAUUCCUUUGCUCCUUAGUUUCUUCAUAUUCAUCCAUCCUUCUGAAAGGUAUUCCUUAAGUACUGGGACCCUGUGGAUACAAAAAUAAAUAGAACCUAGCUCCUUUGUCAAGAUCCUUGGAAUUUAGGGGAAAAGACAAACAAUAAUUGAAGAUUGCAAUCCAGUGUGGUAAGUUUGUUGUUGGAAGUAGGCACUGAGUCCUAGGGGAGCACAGAGAAGGAAUGUCAAAUCAAGCUUGGAGCUGGGGAGGUGAGUCAGGGACCACAUCAAAGGAGUAGUGAUGUCUUCCUGCAAAGUUAAACUCUGUGAAAUGAGCAGGGCUUAUUAGUGGAUCCAGAAGAAUAUUUAAUCUAUAUUCCUAUGUUAAUUGAAGAGAUGGUAAUUUGAGGUCCCUAUAUAGGGAGAAGUUUUUCCAGAGCUGUAAGAAAGAAGCAAAGUACAAACAAAUUUGCCUAAUAUAUCCAUGGCUGCUUAUCCCCAGAGAGUGGUCUAGAUCUUAAGAUCUUUCUAAUAUGCUCCAAGAAGAAAAUAUUUGUUCUUGGGACAUUUCUGUCACUUAAUAUAUUUGCCUUUAGACAUUUGAAGGGUAUCUGGCUUUCAUAAGAAGUCACAGUCACCUGUGUCACUUUCCUCUCAACAGCCCCUUUCUUUGUACAUUUCCUUGUAAUGCACUAUGAACUCUAGGUUGAAUCAUUCAAGUGCUGUAAUAUUCACAUGAAAGCAACACCAAACUUUGUCUCCAUUUUUAGGUUCAUGUCAAAGCUAGUUUUUCACUAAAUAUCUCUGGUUACCAUUUGAUUUGAUUUUAAAAUAAUAUUUCACUUUUCUAAAAGUCGAUCUGUUCCACCAAGUCUUAACUCAUUGUAGAUACAGUUAUAAAAUCAUAAGCAGACAAAUAAUUCUCAUUUCUAGCACAUACGUUGCUUUCUUCCCAAUGUCCACUUUUCCUCUUCUUUUUCCCAAGAGAAUUUCAAUUUGAUCCAGGAUGGAUACUAGUUAGCCAAAGUCAACCUUGAGAAUUCUAUUCCUUUAUUCAGUGGUUGACUUAGGAAAGGGCAAUUCUGGUCUCUUUGGGGGAAGUCAGCUGGCAAGCCUCUGGAAAAGGUUUCCUUCUCCUAAAAGACACACAGAAGUUGAUGUUCUCUCUCCUUUUUUGGAACAUUGGUGCAUCUAGAGUGGCCCUGGAACCACGGCAGCCAUAUUGCCACCAGCUGGAAGACGAAGCCAACGGUGGGAGAAGACAGAGCUGGUCGAAUCCCCCAGGAGUAAAAUGCAGCCUGUAGUACCCUUCCUGGAUUGUAUCUUACUUGGAGUCUUCUUGUUCUGGGAGGCAAUAAAUUUCUUUGUUAUUUAAGCCAUGAUGAAUCAGCGUUUUCAAUUAUUUGCAGCCAAAAGCAUCCUAAGCAAUAGCCAAGUAUGCAUGGAAGUUCAUGCACUUCUCUCACAGAACAUUAUG